GACGAACGCUGGCGGCGUGCUUAACACAUCCAAGUCGAACGGAAAGGCCCUGCUUUUGUGGGGUGCUCGAGUGGCGAACGGGUGAGUAACACGUGAGUAACCUGCCCUUGACUUUGGGAUAACUUCAGGAAACUGGGGCUAAUACCGGAUAGGAGCUCCUGCUGCAUGGUGGGGGUUGGAAAGUUUCGGCGGUUGGGGAUGGACUCGCGGCUUAUCAGCUUGUUGGUGGGGUAGUGGCUUACCAAGGCUUUGACGGGUAGCCGGCCUGAGAGGGUGACCGGCCACAUUGGGACUGAGAUACGGCCCAGACUCCUACGGGAGGCAGCAGUGGGGAAUAUUGCACAAUGGGCGGAAGCCUGAUGCAGCAACGCCGCGUGCGGGAUGACGGCCUUCGGGUUGUAAACCGCUUUCGCCUGUGACGAAGCGUGAGGGACGGUAAUGGGUAAAGAAGCACCGGCUAACUACGU
Molecule: ribosomal RNA, 467 nt
Filed under: uncultured bacterium
Lineage: Bacteria
Description: partial 16S ribosomal RNA
Rfam family: Bacterial small subunit ribosomal RNA
Source: RNAcentral